AGAAUUGGUAAGUUGCUAGGUCAAUGGGAGAAAAUAAAACUGUCUUCUUUUUCCUGUGGCUCCUAUCUGUCCAAGCUAUCUGCCGUUUUUCUGCAGGGUGGGGGAAAGUGUACUCGGUUGCUAGGCAACCAGUGUACAGCUAGAUGCUUCUGGUGACAGGUAAAGGGAGAUCUGGAACUAGAGUGUAAGACAGCAAGAGGAAAAAUUAGGGUCCACCCAGGCAAAAGAUGUAUCAAAUGGAGGAAAUCCUGAUUCAGCAACCUUUGUGCUCUUCUAACAUUUACCACAUGCUCAACAAAUAUGUACGGAUUAGAUCAAGUUGACAAAGACCUUGUCUCCAGGAAAAUUUACAUGCUAGGUGCCAUAUGCAUAUAAUGCUGCAAAAUAAUACUGAACGAGCCAAGGGACAUGGAAAAGGUCAAACGGACUGCCUCACAAGAGCUUGUUCCAGCACUUUCAAACCCAGAUAAUGCAAUGAUUGGUCUUUCAGGAGCCUCCGGAUAAUGCAUUCCAGAUCCAAAGAAACAUUUCUGCUGGCUGAUCAAGGCAGUAGUUUCUUCAAGUGCAGUGUGGAGCUGUGGAAAUUCCUUUAACAACACAAUAAUGAAUUUUGCUGUAUCAAAUAUUCACAGAAGAUCUUUCAGUAAGAAGGUCAGUCAUGGGAAGACUGGAGGAGAAGGGAAGGGCAGAGGACUGGGAAACAUUCACCUGAGAAACCAAGCACAUUUCCUUCAGUGUCGUCCCUGCUGCUCAUGGAGAUCCUGUUUUUGAUCUACAUUGAGGCAUCAUGUUCUUACCAGAAAAGUGACAUCCUCAACCACCUGAGACUAGCAAGGAGAUCUCCCCAAGGCUGACCAAUACUGCCACAGCUGGCUACAUAGAAUUUGUCUUGGCUCUGUCUUCAGGACAACUGUCUGACAACCUUUUGUGCAGCCUUUGGAAGUCUGAAUAAACACACUUAGAAAUGAUGUCAAUGUAAACCGGCCUGCAGGAAUGAACGGAAGGCAGAGUGCAUGGCAGAGGAAAUAACCCACUUGUUUUCUUGCCCGAUUUUCAUUCACUUUGGAGUAACAUAUUAAGCAUUUUGGAUCUUGAAGAUAGAAAUACAAUAAAUGGCUUGUAAAAUAAGACUUGUGUUUGCCUGUUAAUUAUCAGAAGCUCCUUUCAUCUAAAGAAUGGCUUCUCUAGAGUGAUGCUCGCACUAAAGCAUCAUAAUGUCUACAGCAAAAUAGCUGAAGUAUCCCUAAGCCAAAAGACAAGAAACUCGCGUCAAGCAGUGGAUGCUUCCUCAGACAGUUCACAAAUUAUUGUCAAUUCUGCAUGUGCAAUUCUCCUUUAUUUUAUUUAUAACAAAUUCCAUUAUUAAAGUCAUAUUAAGA
Peromyscus maniculatus bairdii (prairie deer mouse) is the source of this 1379-nucleotide non-coding RNA. Lineage: Eukaryota; Metazoa; Chordata; Mammalia; Rodentia; Cricetidae. The record is from RefSeq and is a predicted model, not a curated record.